Long non-coding RNA from Brassica napus (rape), 5604 nucleotides. RefSeq lists it as uncharacterized. The transcript is spliced from 2 exons. Lineage: Eukaryota; Viridiplantae; Streptophyta; Magnoliopsida; Brassicales; Brassicaceae. The record is from RefSeq and is a predicted model, not a curated record.
AAGAAUAUCGCAAUUUUCUUAGAACGUGAAUUCUGAUUUCAGCUAUUUGGACAUCAUAACAAAACAUGAAUUAUAAACAACUAGUAAGUAAUGGUAUGUUAGUGGCAAUGUCAUAUUUGAAACACAACAUGACGUAAAUUCGUUUUUCAGACUCUUUAAAUUAAAUUUUUUGCUGUUUAACCAGUUUGGAUCUAAGUCCCGAUAAUUAGCACUUUAGUACGGUAACCGACGUCUAGCUACCCUAAAUAUUAGUCAAACCCGAAUCUAUUAAUGUGAUAAUCUAAUAUAGCAUUAAGUGCAUUCAUUCUGGAAUCGUCAGAAUCAACCGCUAGAUGCAUCAAAAAAGACAUGAAUUAUAAACCGCAAAUUUCAUCAUAUAUGCCAUAUAAGUCAGAUAUGUCGAUCAUAAUGAAAAAACUAACUUUUUCAAUAUUAUAGAUGAUGAAAAUGUAAAAGUAUAGUACAAAAUUCAUAAAAAUGUCUAAUAACAAUUAAUUUGUGUAAAAUAUCUAAUAUCAAUUAAAAAUAUCUUAUGCGUUAUUAAGUUAUUGGCUCAAUAGAAAGUGAUGCAGAUGUUGAAUUCGAGAAACUUACGUAUGGCUUCAUAAUUAAGAGUGUUUUUAAGACCAAUAUAUUUGUUCAAAGUGCAGUGAUUGCUAUGUAUGCUAAACGCAGAGACUUUAAAACUGCAAGUACUAUGUUACAAGAUAUGGAAGUUGAUGAUGUGGUUUCUUGGAAUUCGAUGGUUGUUGAGUGUGCUAGAGAAGGGUUUAAUACCAAAAUCCUCUUUUGACGAUAACUGAAAUUGACCAGCAUAUCACAAAACAUAACAUGGCAUAUUUAUUCAAUUAUUAAAAAUAUACAAACUCCUACGAUGAAAUAAUAUUUUCUAAGAAUAUGAAUCAUUUUGGAAUUCCUGAAAAAAAUAUUUACCACCACUAAGUUAUAAUCCUUAAUGCAUUCCAAAAUAGAAUUUUUUCUCAGCUGGUAUAUUUUCAUAUAAAGAACUUUUUGCAUUGUUUUUUUUCAUUCUAUUGUUCAACUUAAGUCAUUUAUAAACACUACAAGAAAACACAAUUUUAACGACGAAAAAUAAGGAGAAAAAAGUCCUCGUAAAAUUACGUCGUCUUUACGAGGAAAAAAACAAAUCAACAUAAUUUUGUCGUAAAAUAAUGACAAUAAAGUUUCGUCGUAAAAACGACGCAAUUUAACUUGUAUUUUACGAGGAAACAAUGUUUCGUCGUAAAGUAGACGUAAAAUGAGGAAUUUACGACAAAAUAUUUUACGUCUAUUUAGCGUCGAUAUCUCGAGUGCACCAACUUUUUAGUUUAAAACACAUUUUUUUGUUUCGGCUAGCUAACUAUAUUUCCUCUUAAAUUCCUAGUAAAAUUUCACCUACCAGUGUGGAAUUCUCAGGGUUAUUGAAGCUGAAAUGAGUCAUCUUCAAAUGUGACUGGUUCGACCCCGUCGUCAACAGAGGUGUUCGGUUUACCAAAUCCGGUGUAGUUGAUGUCAGUGGUGGACGAAGGUACAACAAAUUUGAGCGUUUCAUAUUAGCUUCGCAAGCAGACCAAGUUGGCUUCCUUCCAUAUCCUCAGAUGAGAGAAUCGAGAAUAAAUUGGUUAGCCGUUAUCAAAGUUACGCCUCGUGGACAAAUAAUCGGUGGCGAAGAACAGCCUUUGCAAGAAGAACACAUCAAUGAAGUCCAGGAACCUGAACAACAAACUGAUGACAUCCUUCUCAUUGAUCCGCAUAAUCGUGAGUACGAAGAUCAUCCCGACGAUACCACAGACGAAGCUGUUGAAGACGAGUUUAAUGAAAAUUAUGAAGUUUCUAGUGAUGACGAGAAUGUCAAUGAUGUAUCCGAAUGAUGAUGUAUUUUUUUAAUAUGAUUUAAUUUCAGACUUAAUGCAUGUGUUUAGUUUGUUUAAUCAUGAAAAUUAAAUUAUAUAAUUUGAUUUUGUGUAAGGCAAUUGGGGGGUUUGGGGUUUGGAAAGAAAAGAUUGAGAUUAUAAGUUAAGGAACUUGGGGUUUGGGGUUUCGGGUUAUAGGGAUUUACAUAUCUUCCUCGUAAAGUCCUCGUAAAAGAAAACACGGACCUUGCUACUUCCUCGUAAAAAAAAACAAGGGCCUUGUUAUUUCAUCAUAAAUUAACGAGGUCUUUACGAUGAAAUUUAAAAACACUACAUCGUAAACUACUCGUAAUAAGAAAAUGCGGGCCUUGUUAUUUCCUCGUAAAUUUACGUGGACUUGACGACGAAAAUUAAAAAUGCAUGUGUUUAGUUUGUUUAAUCAUGAAAAUUAAAUCAUAUAAUUUGAUUUUGUGUAAGGCAAUUGGGGGUUUGGGGUUUCGGGUUUUAGGGAUUUACAUAUAUUCCUCGUAAAAGAAAACACGGGCCUUGCUACUUCCUCGUAAAAAAAAAACAUGGACCUUGUUAUUUCCUCAUAAAUUAAAGAGGUCUUCACGACAAAAUUUAAAAACACUUCGUCGUAAACUACUGGUAAUAAAAAAAUGUGGGUCUUGUUAUUGCCUCAUAAAUUUACGUGGACUUUACGACGAAAAUUAAAAAUGCAUGUGUUUAGUUUGUUUAAUCAUGAAAAUUAAAUAAUAUAAUUUGAUUUUGUGUAAGGCAAUUGGGGGUUUCGGGUUUCGGGAAUUAGGGAUUUACAUAUAUUCCUCGUAAAAGAAAAUACGGGCCUUGCUACUUCCUCGUAAAAAAACACCGGUCUUGUUAUUUCCUCGUAAACUUACGAGGAUUUUACGACGAAAAUUAAAAAUGAAAAGGCGGGCCUUGUUACUUCCUCGUAAUUUUACGAGGAUUUUACGACGAAAUAUAAUUCCCUAUAUAUACCCGAACCAUCUCACUUCUCAUUUCGUAGUCACUUUCUCUCCUCCUCCUAUAGGUACCCCUCUCUAGGUUAGCUUAGGUGGUUAGUUUAGGGUAAUUAGUGUUGAUUAGGUGGUUAGUGUAGGGAAUUUGUAGAUAGGUUUAUGGAAUUUGUUGAUAAUAUAGGAUGAUGAUUUUUAAAUGUUAAUUAAUAAUCUAUGUGUUUUCUUUUCAGAUGGUUAAUUAAUAAUUUGUAGAUAGGUUUAUGGGCUGAUGAAGUCACUCAGCUGUGUUCUGAGUUGAACUCAACGUGGUCUGCGUUCACAGCUCGUAUGGGUUCAGUCGAGGCUUUCUGGACGUUCUAGCGGCUGGAAAUCCUCAAUUGAAGACCAUGUUGACGGAGAUGCGGAGACAAAUCCCAUUCCAGAGCCACCCCGUACACAGAAGGAUGAGGAAGAAGUAGAGAAGAAGAGUCGAGACUUCUUCCAGGAGAUGCAAAACAACAACCUUUAAUUUUUUUUUCUUCUUUUUAUUGUAUUACAAAUUUGAAACUUAAAUAUUUAUAAAAUAUUUUUGAAUUGAUUUAUUUUUUUGUAAUAAAUUUUAAAAUAUAUUUGAUUAUAUUUUUUUUGUAAAAAAUAAAAAAUCGAAACAAAUUUGUAGCUAAAUUACGUCUAAUUAACGAGAAAAUUGAAAAAUUGUUAGCGAGGAAUUUACUACGAAAUACACGCAGAUUCGUCGUAAAUAUUACGUGUAAAGAACGAUGAAAUCAAGCGUCUACUUUACGAGGAAAAGCUUUAUGUGUACUUCACGAGGAAACAGUUUACGUGUACUUUACGAGGAAAAUGUUUACGUAGCUUUUACGAGGAAACAGUUUACGUGGCUUUUACGACGAAAUUAUUGACACUACUUUACAAUGAAACCUUUCCUCGUAACUUUACGAUGAACGUUUAACGAGGAAAUGGCCUUCGUAGUUAUUUCGUCGUAAACUCUCUUUUACGACGAAAUAACCACGAAAACCGUCUUUCUUAUAUAUGUGUUUUCUCGUAGUGAAAUAAGUUAAAAUGAUUUAGUGAUUUUUCACAUAGUCAAUUAAGAUCAGCAAUAGUUUUCUUCUGUUGAACAGUAACUAUCACCGUGUUUUUAUACACAUAAUCAUGUAACUAUUUUGAUUUGCUUUACAUGUAUAAUUAAUUAACGAAGCAUUCAUAAUAAUUAUAUAAACAUAAUAUAUGAUAUGUGUACAUGAGAGAAUAUAGAUUAUGAAAAUGUAACCAUAGAUUUACGAACUAUAUUAAUGAAUGUGCCCCUCGUUCUUAAACCAUCCUAGUUAAAUCAACAAUCAUUUAUUUUUUUUGCUAAAAAAACUAUCUAUAAUUUUAUAUAAUAUCUGCUAAAUUUAGAAAUUUUAAUUUAAAAUCAAUUGUGAAUGACUAUAUUAACUUGCAUAUUUUCACAUUUAUUAAAUAAGAUUCUAAAAAUAUCAGUUAUCGUUUUAAGUUUUCACUAUUAAAGCUUCCAAUAUCAUUCAUGUUUUAAACUUCAAAGAUUUUUCAAAAUAUAUUUAAUACUUGUUGAUAAUAGACUACUCCAUUUGUUUCAUAUAAGUGUCGUCUAAAUUGUUUGCAUACGAGCUAAAAAUUAAUACAAAUUUUACCCCAUUUAAUAUAUAUAUUUGAUUUUUUAAUUAGAUUAAAAAUAAAGGUAAAGCUGGAAUUUAUAUUUUAUGUAUACAUUGAAUAUGUAAAACAACAAGUAUAAUGAAAUAAAUUUUUUUAAGUAAAACAACAUUUAAUAUGAAACGGAAAGAGUAUGUUUUAUUAAUUUCUUAUUUUUUUUCUUUUUAGUUAAUUCAAGAUAUUUCUCUUGUUUAGGUUAUGACUUUUUGUUUCAUGUAUCUAAUUAAUUACAAGUUGACUCUAAUUAAUUAGUGAUUUUUUCACAUUGUCAAUUAAGAUUAGCAAUAGUUAUCUUCCGUUGAACAUUAACUAUGACCGUGUUUUUAAUACAUAUAAUCAUGUAUAAAAUAAUUAUAUAAAUAUACAUAUAACUAGUUUGAUUUGCUUUACAUGUAUAAUUAAUUAACGAAGCAUUAAUAAUAGUUAUAUAAAAUAAUAUGUGUACAUGAGAUAAUAUCUAUAUAUAUAAAGUAUUGUUUGUUUCUCUCCUAUGAUUCAGCCACAUCAUUAAGUCGUGCAAGGAGAAAUCAACACGUUCCCCUCUUUCUAAAACGUCGCGUUUCAUUUAAUCUUGCGCUAACAUUUGUGGGCUUCGUACCUGGGCUUUAUGAUUACACCGCGUUCGAGCCCAAAAGUGACCUAACGCUUAUCGUCUUCCACGGUCACAACGAGUCUAGGGUUCAUACUCCUCUUCCAUCGCCGACAUCAACAAUGGAGUCUCGAGAAAUUGUGCCAGGAAUGUAAACGCUGUGGGGAGCUUGCGGGUUUAUACGAAGUGGCGUAUGCUGUAAGGAUUGAUUCAGUAGGCGGCGUUGCUAUACAAUACAUGUCUCCAGAAAUGAGUUAUUUAAGAUACAUAUAGGAUGAGAUUGAUAUAAAGCUAAACUUGAUCCCUCCAUAUCAAAUAAAUUUCAUGUCUAGGCAGCUCUGCGGCAACGGUCUCGACUUUCCAAGCAGGUUGUUCUCUGUUUGUUUAGCUACAAAAAAAUUCUUAUUCUCACUUGCUAAAUAAAUGAAGUUCUUUUGUGAUGUUGUGGUUUCACUUGAACGUGUAGAGACUAUUGGUUUGGUGAGUAAAUCUGAUGAUUUCAAAUGAA